GACGAACGCUGGCGGCGUGCUUAACACAUGCAAGUCGAACGGAAAGGCCCUGCUUUUGUGGGGUGCUCGAGUGGCGAACGGGUGAGUAACACGUGAGUAACCUGCCCUUGACUUUGGGAUAACUUCAGGAAACUGGGGCUAAUACCGGAUAGGAGCUCCUGCUGCAUGGUGGGGGUUGGAAAGUUUCGGCGGUUGGGGAUGGACUCGCGGCUUAUCAGCUUGUUGGUGGGGUAGUGGCUUACCAAGGCUUUGACGGGUAGCCGGCCUGAGAGGGUGACCGGCCACAUUGGGACUGAGAUACGGCCCAGACUCCUACGGGAGGCAGCAGUGGAGAAUAUUGCACAAUGGGCGGAAGCCUGAUGCAGCAACGCCGCGUGCGGGAUAACGGCCUUCGGGUUGUAAACCGCUUUCGCCUGUGACGAAGCGUGAGUGACGGUAAUGGGUAAAGAAGCACCGGCUAACUACGUG
Molecule: ribosomal RNA, 468 nt
Filed under: uncultured bacterium
Lineage: Bacteria
Description: partial 16S ribosomal RNA
Rfam family: Bacterial small subunit ribosomal RNA
Source: RNAcentral